Molecule: non-coding RNA, 342 nt
Filed under: Pan troglodytes (chimpanzee)
Lineage: Eukaryota; Metazoa; Chordata; Mammalia; Primates; Hominidae
Source: RNAcentral
GAGAAAAACCUGAAAACGCUAAGAGGUGGAGUGACAACUUGCAUUCAGCUGUUUCAGAAACAUUGUUGACCACCUACUCAAUGUGAAGAUGACGAAGAUGAAAGCCUUUAUGAUGAUCUACUUCCACUUAAUAAAUGUACUUAUCCAUGUGCCUGAAAUAUAUUAGUUGAUCAGUAAAUGUUGCAGUAAAUGAAGGAGGAAUGGAAAGGAAAAAAAGAAAGAAAAAAAUGAAUGGCAUGCUAUCUGGAGGGUACAAGGAAGAUUUAAGCCAAAAGCAUAACCCUGCAACAAAAAUCACCAUGUCUAGAAUUCAACCAUUAAAGAUUUAAUUUUUCACAUUAA